This 4924-nucleotide small RNA is filed under the name Pan troglodytes (chimpanzee). Its description in RNAcentral is "processed transcript". The record is from RNAcentral. Lineage: Eukaryota; Metazoa; Chordata; Mammalia; Primates; Hominidae.
CUCAGUUGCAAUAUGAGGCUGUUCAGCUACAAGAGCUCUGAGUUCCCUGUGGUUCUGUUGGACGAGAUUCUUUGAAUAGAUUCUUAAUGGUUCCUUCAUUCAAGUAGCCAUAUGCACUGCUUUUAGUGUUGUCAGGUUAACUGCAGGUUUUAAAAAACUGUAUUUAUUAUAGAAUCUGGAAAUUAAUUAAUCAGAAUCAGUUGCUCAACUACCGUUCUGCCAUUUCAAAUCAUGGAUCAAAAAUAGAAGGCCUGGAAAGAGAACUGACUGAUUUGAAUCAAGAAUUUGAGACUUUGCAAGAAAAGGCUCAAGUAAAUUCCAGAAAAGCACAAACAUUAAACAACAAUGUUAAUCGGGCAACACAAAGUGCAGAAGAACUGGAUGUGAAGAUUAAAAAUGUCAUACGGAAUGUGCACAUUCUUUUAAAGCAGAUCUCUGGGACAGAUGGAGAGGGAAACAACGUGCCUUCAGGUGACUUUUCCAGAGAGUGGGCUGAAGCCCAGCGCAUGAUGAGGGAACUGCGGAACAGGAACUUUGGAAAGCACCUCAGAGAAGCAGAAGCUGAUAAAAGGGAGUCGCAGCUCUUGCUGAACCGGAUAAGGACCUGGCAGAAAACCCACCAGGGGGAGAACAAUGGGCUUGCUAACAGUAUACAGGAUUCUUUAAAUGAAUACGAAGCCAAACUCAGUGACCUUCGUGCUCGGCUGCAGGAGGCAGCUGCCCAAGCCAAGCAGGCAAAUGGCUUGAACCAAGAAAACGAGAGAGCUUUGGGAGCCAUUCAGAGACAAGUGAAAGAAAUAAAUUCCCUGCAGAGUGAUUUCACCAAGUAUCUAACCACUGCAGACUCAUCUUUGUUGCAAACCAACAUUGCGCUGCAGCUGAUGGAGAAAAGCCAGAAGGAAUAUGAAAAAUUAGCUGCCAGUUUAAAUGAAGCAAGACAAGAACUAAGUGACAAAGUAAGAGAACUUUCCAGAUCUGCUGGCAAAACAUCCCUUGUGGAGGAGGCAGAAAAGCACGCACAGUCCUUACAAGAGCUGGCAAAGCAGCUGGAAGAGAUCAAGAGAAACGCCAGCGGGGAUGAGCUGGUGCGCUGUGCUGUGGAUGCCGCCACCGCCUACGAGAACAUCCUCAAUGCCAUCAAAGCGGCCGAGGACGCAGCCAACAGGGCUGCCAGUGCAUCUGAAUCUGCCCUCCAGACAGUGAUAAAGGAAGAUCUGCCAAGAAAAGCUAAAACCCUGAGUUCCAACAGUGAUAAAUUGUUAAAUGAAGCCAAGAUGACACAAAAGAAGCUAAAGCAAGAAGUCAGUCCAGCUCUCAACAACCUACAGCAAACCCUGAAUAUUGUGACAGUUCAGAAAGAAGUGAUAGACACCAAUCUCACAACUCUCCGAGAUGGUCUUCGUGGGAUACAGAGAGGUGAUAUUGAUGCUAUGAUCAGUAGUGCAAAGAGCAUGGUCAGAAAGGCCAACGACAUCACAGAUGAGGUUCUGGAUGGGCUCAACCCCAUCCAGACAGAUGUGGAAAGAAUUAAGGACACCUAUGGGAGGACACAGAACGAAGACUUCAAAAAGGCUCUGACUGAUGCAGAUAACUCGGUGAAUAAGUUAACCAACAAACUACCUGAUCUUUGGCGCAAGAUUGAAAGUAUCAACCAACAGCUGUUGCCCUUGGGAAACAUCUCUGACAACAUGGACAGAAUACGAGAACUAAUUCAGCAGGCCAGAGAUGCUGCCAGUAAGGUUGCUGUCCCCAUGAGGUUCAAUGGUAAAUCUGGAGUCGAAGUCCGACUGCCAAAUGACCUGGAAGAUUUGAAAGGAUAUACAUCUCUGUCCUUGUUUCUCCAAAGGCCCAACUCAAGAGAAAAUGGGGGUACUGAGAAUAUGUUUGUGAUGUACCUUGGAAAUAAAGAUGCCUCCCGGGACUACAUCGGCAUGGCAGUUGUGGAUGGCCAGCUCACCUGUGUCUACAACCUGGGGGACCGUGAGGCUGAACUCCAAGUGGACCAGAUCUUGACCAAGAGUGAGACUAAGGAAGCAGUUAUGGAUCGGGUGAAAUUUCAGAGAAUUUAUCAGUUUGCAAGGCUUAAUUACACCAAAGGAGCCACAUCCAGUAAACCAGAAACACCCGGAGUCUAUGACAUGGAUGGUAGAAAUAGCAAUACACUCCUUAAUUUGGAUCCUGAAAAUGUUGUAUUUUAUGUUGGAGGUUACCCACCUGAUUUUAAACUUCCCAGUCGACUAAAUUUCCCUCCAUACAAAGGUUGUAUUGAAUUAGAUGACCUCAAUGAAAAUGUUCUGAGCUUGUACAACUUCAAAAAAACAUUCAAUCUCAACACAACUGAAGUGGAGCCUUGUAGAAGGAGGAAGGAAGAAUCAGACAAAAAUUAUUUUGAAGGUACGGGCUAUGCUCGAGUUCCAACUCAACCACAUGCUCCCAUCCCAACCUUUGGACAGACAAUUCAGACCACCGUGGAUAGAGGCUUGCUGUUCUUUGCAGAAAACGGGGAUCGCUUCAUAUCUCUAAAUAUAGAAGAUGGCAAGCUCAUGGUGAGAUACAAACUGAAUUCAGAGCUACCAAAAGAGAGAGGAGUUGGAGAUGCCAUAAACAACGGCAGAGACCAUUCGAUUCAGAUCAAAAUUGGAAAACUCCAAAAGCGUAUGUGGAUAAAUGUGGACGUUCAAAACACUAUAAUUGAUGGUGAAGUAUUUGAUUUCAGCACAUAUUAUCUGGGAGGAAUUCCAGUUGCAAUCAGGGAAAGAUUUAACAUUUCUACGCCUGCUUUCCGAGGCUGCAUGAAAAAUUUGAAGAAAACCAGUGGUGUCGUUAGAUUGAAUGAUACUGUGGGAGUAACCAAAAAGUGCUCGGAAGACUGGAAGCUUGUGCGAUCUGCCUCAUUCUCCAGAGGAGGACAAUUGAGUUUCACUGAUUUGGGCUUACCACCUACUGACCACCUCCAGGCCUCAUUUGGAUUUCAGACCUUUCAACCCAGUGGCAUAUUAUUAGAUCAUCAGACAUGGACAAGGAACCUGCAGGUCACUCUGGAAGAUGGUUACAUUGAAUUGAGCACCAGCGAUAGCAGCAGCCCAAUUUUUAAAUCUCCACAGACGUAUAUGGAUGGUUUACUGCAUUAUGUAUCUGUAAUAAGCGACAACUCUGGACUACGGCUUCUCAUCGAUGACCAGCCUCUGAGAAAUAACAAAAGGCUAAAACACAUUUCAAGUUCCCGGCAGUCUCUGCGUCUGGGCGGGAGCAAUUUUGAGGGUUGUAUUAGCAAUGUUUUUGUCCAGAGGUUAUCACUGAGUCCUGAAGUCCUAGAUUUGACCAGUAACUCUCUCAAGAGAGAUGUGUCCCUGGGAGGCUGCAGUUUAAACAAACCACCUUUUCUAAUGUUGCUUAAAGGUUCUACCAGGUUUAACAAGACCAAGACUUUUCGUAUCAACCAGCUGUUGCAGGACACACCAGUGGCCUCCCCAAGGAGCGUGAAGGUGUGGCAAGAUGCUUGCUCACCACUUCCCAAGACCCAGGCCAAUCAUGGAGCCCUCCAGUUUGGGGACAUUCCCACCAGCCACUUGCUAUUCAAGCUUCCUCAGGAGCUGCUGAAACCUAGGUCACAGUUUGCUGUGGACAUGCAGACAACAUCCUCCAGAGGACUGGUGUUUCACACGGGCACUAAGAACUCCUUCAUGGCUCUUUAUCUUUCAAAAGGACGUCUGGUCUUUGCACUGGGGACAGAUGGGAAAAAAUUGAGGAUCAAAAGCAAGGAGAAAUGCAAUGAUGGGAAAUGGCACACGGUGGUGUUUGGCCAUGAUGGAGAAAAGGGGCGCUUGGUUGUGGAUGGACUGAGGGCCCGGGAGGGAAGUUUGCCUGGAAACUCCACCAUCAGCAUCAGAGCGCCAGUUUACCUGGGAUCACCUCCAUCAGGGAAACCAAAGAGCCUCCCCACAAACAGCUUUGUGGGAUGCCUGAAGAACUUUCAGCUGGAUUCAAAACCCUUGUAUACCCCUUCUUCAAGCUUCGGGGUGUCUUCCUGCUUGGGUGGUCCUUUGGAGAAAGGCAUUUAUUUCUCCGAAGAAGGAGGUCAUGUCGUCUUGGCUCACUCUGUAUUGUUGGGGCCAGAAUUUAAGCUUGUUUUCAGCAUCCGCCCAAGAAGUCUCACUGGGAUCCUAAUACACAUCGGAAGUCAGCCCGGGAAGCACUUAUGUGUUUACCUGGAGGCAGGAAAGGUCACGGCCUCUAUGGACAGUGGGGCAGGUGGGACCUCAACGUCGGUCACACCAAAGCAGUCUCUGUGUGAUGGACAGUGGCACUCGGUGGCAGUCACCAUAAAACAACACAUCCUGCACCUGGAACUGGACACAGACAGUAGCUACACAGCUGGACAGAUCCCCUUCCCACCUGCCAGCACUCAAGAGCCACUACACCUUGGAGGUGCUCCAGCCAAUUUGACGACACCGAGGAUCCCUGUGUGGAAAUCAUUCUUUGGCUGUCUGAAGAAUAUUCAUGUCAAUCACAUCCCUGUCCCUGUCACUGAAGCCUUGGAAGUCCAGGGGCCUGUCAGUCUGAAUGGCUGUCCUGACCAGUAACCCAAGCCUAUUUCACAGCAAGGAAAUUCACCUUCAAAAGCACUGAUUACCCAAUGCACCUCCCUCCCCAGCUCGAGAUCAUUCUUCACUCAGGACACAAACCAGACAGGUUUAAUAGCGAAUCUAAUUUUGAAUUCUGACCAUGGAUACCCAUCACUUUGGCAUUCAGUGCUACAUGUGUAUUUUAUAUAAAAAUCCCAUUUCUUGAAGAUAAAAAAAUUGUUAUUCAAAUUGUUAUGCACAGAAUGUUUUUGGUAAUAUUAAUUUCCACUAAAAAAUUAAAUGUCUUUUAAGGAACAUUCUUUUCCACUUGUUAAAAAAAUUAAAUAUAUUUUAAAGCA